RNAcentral lists this ribosomal RNA (734 nucleotides) under Triglops murrayi (moustache sculpin). Its description in RNAcentral is "partial 12S ribosomal RNA". It matches the Rfam family "Bacterial small subunit ribosomal RNA", at positions 337 to 1447 of the family's 1533-position model. Lineage: Eukaryota; Metazoa; Chordata; Actinopteri; Perciformes; Cottidae. The record is from RNAcentral.
CUCAAGGGAACUCAGCAGUGAUAAAUAUUAAGCCAUAAGUGAAAACUUGACUUAGUUAAAGCUAAGAGGGCCGGUAAAACUCGUGCCAGCCACCGCGGUUAUACGAGAGGCCCAAGUUGACAAACACCGGCGUAAAGAGUGGUUAAGAAAAAACUCAUACUAAAGCCCAACAUCUUCAAGGCUGUUAUACGCAACCGAAGACAGGAGGUUCAACCACGAAGGUGGCUUUAUCUGAUCUGACCCCACGAAAGCUAAGGAACAAACUGGGAUUAGAUACCCCACUAUGCCUAGCCCUAAACAUUGAUAGUACUACACACCCACUAUCCGCCCGGGAACUACGAGCAAUAGCUUAAAACCCAAAGGACUUGGCGGUGCUUUAGAUCCACCUAGAGGAGCCUGUUCUAGAACCGAUAGCCCCCGUUCAACCUCACCCUUCCUUGUUUAACCCGCCUAUAUACCGCCGUCGUCAGCUUACCCUGUGAGGGUAAAAUAGUAAGCAAAACUGGUAAAACCUUAAACGUCAGGUCGAGGUGUAGCGUAUGGAGGGGGAAGAAAUGGGCUACAUUCGCUACUACAGCGAACACGAAUGAUGCACUGAAACGUACAUCUGAAGGAGGAUUUAGCAGUAAGCAGGAAAUAGAGCGUCCCGCUGAAACCGGCCCUGAAGCGCGCACACACCGCCCGUCACUCUCCCCAAAGACGCCAAUCAAUUAACUAAAACCUAAUAAUUAAAA